This 460-nucleotide ribosomal RNA is filed under the name uncultured bacterium. RNAcentral describes it as "partial 16S ribosomal RNA". It matches the Rfam family "Bacterial small subunit ribosomal RNA", at positions 338 to 795 of the family's 1533-position model. The record is from RNAcentral.
CCUACGGGAGGCAGCAGUGAGGAAUAUUGGUCAAUGGACGAGAGUCUGAACCAGCCAAGUAGCGUGAAGGAUGACUGCCCUACGGGUUGUAAACUUCUUUUAUAUGGGAAUAAAAUGUUCCACGUGUGCGUUUUUGUAUGUACCAUAUGAAUAAGGAUCGGCUAACUCCGUGCCAGCAGCCGCGGUAAUACGGAGGAUCCGAGCGUUAUCCGGAUUUAUUGGGUUUAAAGGGAGCGUAGGUGGAUUGUUAAGUCAGUUGUGAAAGUUUGCGGCUCAACCGUAAAAUUGCAGUUGAAACUGGCAGUCUUGAGUACAGUAGAGGUGGGCGGAAUUCGUGGUGUAGCGGUGAAAUGCUUAGAUAUCACGAAGAACUCCGAUUGCGAAGGCAGCUCACUGGACUGCAACUGACACUGAGGCUCGAAAGUGUGGGUAUCAAACAGGAUUAGAUACCCCAGUAGUC